CGCGUGGCGGUGGGGCCGGGGUCGGUUGCUCUCUCGCCUCUCCUCUGUGAGGCUCCAAUACCGUGCGGCUCUUGGAGCUUUUAUUUUUGUUUUCUUAACCAUCUCUGGUUGCGAUCGGGUAUAGAGAGGAGGGACUUUGUUCCCGUUAGGGGCUUGUGGCUCAGCCAGAGCCGCUGGUCUGCUGCUCUGAACCUUGUCAGAAAAGGGCUGUCGUGGGGCUGCGCUUCUCAUCGAGCUCCUCUGCUUUCGCCUUGUCGCCUUUGUGCCUAUUCCCCCCUGCUUUUCUUUUGGAUCUGCGGAGCUUCCAAACGAACUUACCUCAGUAGGGUGCCCACGGAUUUGGUCUGCCCGGAAGAGAGAAGUGCCCAUAGAACCAUAGGAUGGCCUGGGUUGAAAAGGACCACGAUGAUCAUCGAGUUUCAACCCCCCUGCUGUGUGCAGGGUCGCCAACCACCAGACCCUGUGCCCGUGUAUUACACUGCCAAAGCAAAACCACAACGGCACGCAUCCGUGUGAUGUAAAUACAUGCAAUAACGCAGGCACGAAGAGUUCCUACAGCGCUCUUGGGAUCCAUUUGGAAAUGGCACUGAACCUGGCCAGGAGUUAGUAAUAUUUUCAGUGAAUAAUCUCGUUUCUGUUAGCGACCUGAGAGCUUCGGGUGAUAAAACAGCCCACACAAGAACAUGCAGAAGCAGAAAAUGCAAGAUAAUGCGUGUGUGGGGUAAUGAGUACUUGCACCAUAAAUCAAGGAGCUCUCUGGCAGAGGACUGCGAAAAUACCCAGGCUUGUUAGUCAAUGGGGAAAGGAAGCUAACAGUUUAAAAUGCAGUUGCGAAGAGAGCCCCGCAAAUGUGACUGAUGUGUGUGAGGUCAAACCUCUGAGUUGCCUGUGAGACAUUAUUGUGUCCUGGACUGACGAACCGUGUCCAGGAGAAGGAACCUGUACAGAAAUACACCCAGGAGGGUUACUGGAGCAGAGCAAAGCUUAUCUACAAGAAUACACUUGGAAUAUUUGUCUGGCUAAUGCGGCAAAAGCAAACGUGGAGGAGGGAGUAUGGCUGCUGGUAACAAAAAAGCAAGGGCAGAAUCAAGGAGUGGCCAUUCAAGCUAAUAAACAAGGUUGAUAGAACAGUGUAGAUCUAAAUUAGAGAAGCUGCUGACGGCUGGUUUCUGGUGAGGAGGGUGAUCGGAAUGAAGAUGCAACAGGAGUGUUCACACAGAACAGAUUCACGCCAGCUGGUGAUCACACUAUUAAUUUCCCUUUCUUCCCUGUGGUGACGUUAUCUCUUUUUUUACCAACUACAAAAUCGUGUUUGUCGUCUUCAUGAGAACAGCAACUUUCCAGAUGAGAGCAGGAACCACAUCAGGGCACUCGUGAAGGGACGGAACACUGGACCUGAGCUUGGCUGAGGUCAUUGGCAGCGCUGGAUGCACAGGAGCUAGGCUAGUAGGGAGCCAGGAGGGCACAGGGAGUGAAAAUUUGAUCGACCAUUCCCAAAGCACUGAGAAAUCUAAAUGGAAAUAUCCUGGCUUGGCUUGUGACCUCAUUUUUCUUGUUCUUAGUGGAGUUUCGGUGGACUUCUGCUGAUGCGUUACGCGUCUUACAGCAAAGAGUUCUUUUACUUACCACAAAAGCAAACAGGAAACCUCGGUGAUAUUAUUAAUGUUAAUGAAAAGCUUCCACUAUGUGCCUUAAGUUUUGUAAGAAAUACUCAUCUGCCAAUGAAGUUAAGUUAAAUGGCUGUCAUCCAUACGUAGAUUCAAAACAGGGGAGUCAGCUUCAGGAUAUAAAAAACCCCCGUGAAAUAAAUUAACAACAGCUAAUUUAUUAUUCCAUUUGACUCUCUCUUUCUCCUUAUGAUGUUUAAAAAUAAUUCAAUCACAAGAUUUAAGAGGAAGUGGAAAUAAUGAUGAUCUGUUUUUAUUAAGGUACAAAACUCUUGGAGUAUCUAUGGCAAACAGAGUAGACAUUGCUGUCUGAGUCAGACUUGAAAGGAAAUGUUUAAUCCCCUAUUUUAAUAACCAGCAUAUGAGCAACAGGACCUUGUAUUUCACAAGCAUUAGAUUUUUGUAUGUGUCAAUAAAAAAAUCAGUACUACAGUUACAGUAGUAUUAUAUUUUUAUAUGGUUACUUUGAGUGAAACAUUCAAUCUUUAAGAUGCCUUAAUUGCUGCGAGUUACACUGGAAAUUAAAAUAAGCUUUCCAAUCUACUCUUCCUGUAUUUAUUUCUUAAAUGCGCAUUUUCUUAAAUGGGGCAGUACUUAAUCACCUCAGAUGUGAUCAAAUCAUAGCUGAGAUAAUUUUGUACAUGUGCUGAAACUGGUUUAGUACUAUGGGUGCAUGUCAGAGUAGAGGCGUUUGUUCUGGAUGUUUGGAUCUGUGUUGCCUGUUCUAGGCAGGGAAGAGCAAAUGGCAUGCGACCCCUGCCCCGGGUCCCUGAAUAGGGGCAGUUUUAAGGGCACACCAGGUCCAGCUCCUGGCUCCACACAGGACCACCCAAAAUCAAACCCUAUGUCUGAGAGCAGUGUCCAAAUGCUCCGUGAACCCUGACACUCGGGGCCAUGCCCACAGCCCUGGGCAGCCGGUUCCAUGCCCACCACCUUCUGGUGCAGCCCCUUUCCCUAACUCCCAGCUGCCCCUCCCCUGACAACUCCAUGCCGUUCCCUCAG
This is a long non-coding RNA of Gallus gallus (chicken), 2669 nucleotides long. The record is from Ensembl. NCBI's taxonomy places the organism in Eukaryota, Metazoa, Chordata, Aves, Galliformes, Phasianidae.